AUGGAAUUCUUGGAGGAAUGAAUUACUGCACACAGACCAAGUGUCCAGAGUAGGGCCUGGUACAUUAACGGGCAUCACUGAAGCAGGGGUUCACGUCAGCAUUCUGGUUCCAUCAACACUUUCUCUGGCUCCAUUAUAGAAUGGUAUAAAUACUCUCUUCUUGGGGGGGGGGACACCUAAACUGUGGAGAAGGGUGUAAAGCAGGGCUUCUCAACUGGGGGUUGGUUUGCCCUCUGCCCAAGGGAUAUCUGGCAGCACCUACAGACAUCUUUGGCUUUUUAGGACUUGGGAGGGAGGCAGGAGCGACUGGCAUCUAGUGAGGAGAGGCCAGGGUUGCUGGGAAGCGUCCCGCAAGGCACAGGAAGGCCCUACAGCCGAGUUACCCACACCGCAAAUCAAUAGCGUGAGGGUGAGAAACUCGGAGAGAAGGUCAAACAGCAAAGUCUCUUGGCCCCUGAGUCCCGCGUCUCCCGUGUGUCCAGCACCGCUCGAUUCCUCCUCACGGGGUCGUCCCCACCAACAUCCACACUCUACCCCCCGAUGACAGUGAGCUAGUCAUAAACAAGAACAACACACCAAGAGUCAGGUGUGGCCCCUGGGGGUCCCCGGCCAUGCUCUGCUCCGCCUCCCAAGCUACGCAAGGCAAGGUGGGCUCUGCCUCCUUUGAGAAUCGCCUGCCGUGAAGAGCAGCGGGUCCUACGACCUGCACCUGCGGGGCCCAGGCUGCUGGAGUGUGGAGACCAGGGAGGGAGGAUGGCCGUGACCCAGGCCAGGCAUGACGGUGACCGCGGCCAGGGUGGUGAUGCUGAGGAGGAGGACCGUGGUUGGACCGGAGGCAGGGAGUGACCAAUCAGUGAUGGCAGGACAUCUGGGGCGGGGGAGGCACCAAGACAGUCCCUGGCUGGGGGACCCUGCAGGUGGAUGCGGGAGCAGCUGCUCAUUGGGCAGGUAGACAGGCACCAGGAGAGGGCUUGUCACGCGCAGAAUUACAUGAGGGCGUGACCCCGGAGGGCAACCUUGCUUAUCACACGUCUGGUCCCAGGCCCUGACGGCACAGAGCCUGGGAAUGGACCGUGACUGUCCGAGUGACGCUCGGCAUGGCUUGUGCCCACCCCUUUGCUUUACGCGUCCUGCCACUUCCCAGGGAACACAUGGUACCCAGGACCCAUCGAUCCCCGCACAUCAGAGGGAUCUGUCUACUUAAGGAUGCCGGCCCCUGGCUUUGGAAGGAGUCACAUGGAGGGAGAGGCAAAAAGAUACGCGGGUGUGCUCUACGGAUGCGGGUCACCACCAAGCGAGGCAGAAGGGGAGUGCGUGUCGGAUGGGUGACUGCCCCCUGCAAAGGCCUGAUCACAGCGUGGAUGGGUCACUGAACGAGGACGGGGAGACGGAGGCAGGAAGGGGGGCUCCAUGAGCACCCACUCGCACGCAGAGAAAUCAGAGCACCACCCUUGCUCUCAGGCGGACACACCCAUUUUGCUCCUGGGUCUCCCCGCGCCGCCGCGCCGUGAUGCAGCAAGCCAGGGAUGCGGAGGAUCCACCCAGGCCCCCCUCCCAGAUACAUCGCUGGCACUGACCAGAGAUCUGGCUCAGGGCUGGUGUGGUCCUCCCCUGGCAAACCGAGGGGUCUCCCCAGGGCUGCAUGUUCUAGAGUUUUUAAGAUGCAGAGAGAGAAGCAUAUUCAAAUUCAGAGCUGGCGGGACCCUAAGAAAAGGAAUGCGCCCAGCCCACAGGGUCCAUGAAAACCAAGCCCUGAUCACCUAAAUAUAGACUAACUUCUAAAUAAGGCUUCAGAUCACAGAUUUGUUUACUUUCAUUUGGUGAUAAUUGUUCACAGCAGAACAUAUCAGAAAAUUCUAUAAUAGGAACCACAGCCAGGAAAGAGUAAAUAAUUAAUCACCCUCCCUCCCAGCCUCUUGCAUCUCUGUUGAUAUAAAUGACCGUAUAAUUCCAAACCCAAUUAUCACUACUUAGCCGUUCCAUUUUGUAGUUAAAAUCCCACAAAAUUAAAGUGCAUCAAUUGUUAAUGGUAAUAGACCAGACAAGGGAUUAAAGAUUAUUUUAAUGUUUAUUUCCUGUCAAGAGAUCUUUUGGCAGGAAACACCGCAGACAAAAGGCAGCAAGCUCAGAUGAGAUUCAUAUAUUUAAAUCUUCUAACUUCUAAAAACAUUAUGGAUAUAAUUACUUGUUUAAUUUACUUGUUCCCUCAAGAUACAGGCUGGGGAGAUCAAGCCAACUUUAUUAUAUCCAGUUCUCGGAGAGGAAAGACACUGCUCUGCAGCAUUUUAUAAGCUAGUUUGUCCUCAGUAAUCAAAUCAGAUUUAGAGCCCACGUCCCAGGACUGAUGACAGGGGCGAGAGGCAGAGGCAGAGGCCAGUGUGGGAGGGGACGGGGCCCCACAACACCCCUCAGGCCUGCACCCACAGGGCUGUGCGGCCGAGGCACACCCCCACGCUCCCCUGAGCCUCAGUUUCCUUGUGCAUAAGAUAGAGUCAGGCCAAAGUCACCACCGGCUCAGAAUGCAAACACAGGCGUGGUGAUGCACCUCUGAUGGCCUGUAAGGUGGUCACCCAGAAGAGCCUUAGGUGCUUAGUUCACCUUUCUAGGUUAUCGCUGAGAUGAACACACGUGCACUUGCUCACACACACACACACACACACUCACACACACAAACACUCACAGGAGAUGCCGGUUAAGAAAGGUUAAGAACUUCAAAGGCAUAAACAAAUGAGGGAGGGAUGGCUAGACAGACAAAAAGAGUAACUGCUCACCUGAAAAACUGUUUAGAUGAUGGAGAAAUCAGAAUCUAGAAUAUAAGAUAUGUAAGAGUGUGUGUGCGUGUGCACGCGCAUGCCUGUGUAUAGAGAGGAGGGAGAGGGGAGGGGGCAGGAUGGUUGGAUGGACGGACAGAUAGAUGGAUAGAGAGAGAAACAAAAAUCGUAACUGCUCACCUGAAAUGACUAUUUAGAUCAUGGAGAAAUCAGAAUCUACAAAGAACUUGAGACUCGCUUCCAGGUGCUCAGUCAAUUCUUUCCGGCUCCUUUCUGCCACCUUCCUUAGAAUAUAAAAAACACGAAGGCGGCGGUAUCUGUGCGCUGCCCUACUGCUAGCACUGAAAAUCGAGCCUGGCCUGUAGUAGGAGAUACGCCCUUGACAAAUGUCCCUGGAGCAUACUGUGACAAUGACAAUAACUGUGCGACCACUUACUGUUUCUCCGAGGGAACUCCUGUCUCCUGAUUCUCGGGUCAGUAUAUCAACUUCCUUAACUCGUAAGGGGUCUGGGGAUGAGAGGGGUUGAGACACUCGGCGGGAAUCGCACACACAGGCGCAGGGUGCCAACCAGCGUGAGAACCACACUGCCCGACCUUGCAUCCUGGGCUCACUCCCUGUCAUCACUCGGGCUCUUGGAGAGCGUCGCGCUACGGGAAGCCAGGGGGAGGCACUUUGCUUUAAGCAGCAAACAGACGACCAAAAAAAGAAGCUUGUGCAGUGGUCUGGGUUCCCCAAGCGGGACGUGACCUUGGGCCCAUCUUCAACUCUGAAUCGCUGCUUCUCCUUCUGCACACAUCUUUGCAGUGGGCAGAUUUUAUAUUUGCUCAUGCCACUAAAAUGACUCAGGGUGUGUUGACCUGAAAGUAACAGAUGCAUGAUUCAAGUCCAACUCAAAACUGCAAGUCCAGAGGAAGAGAGGCCACAGGCACAGGGGAACCAGCAGCUCACAAUGCCCCACUUAUCCAGGUUUUUCACUUGCUUCUCUGACCCCUUUGGGGACAGCUUCGCCUCACGCUGGAAGGCCUCUUGGGCACAAGGCGGCUGCAGUGCGUCCAGGCUGAGUCAACAUCCAACAGAAGCAGAAAGUCUAUCUUUUCCUUAUGCAACACUUUUAGGAGUAAGAAAACCUUUCCCAGAAGUGCCCCCCAUUUUCGGAGGUCAGGGUUGGGUCACACAUCUGGUUCUAAGCCAAUUACAUUUGCUUGUUUCAUGGCUUCGGUUCAUUGGUAUAGGUGAAGGGAUGCCGGGAGUCAGCUGUCAUAACUAUUAUGCUCAAAUGACAAAAUCUGAGGCAAAAGUAAGUCAUUAAAUAAACUCGAGUCCUUAUUUUUAAGAGUGCAGGGCCCGUUUCACGUUUUAUGUAAGUCAUUAUGCGACACACCUUAACCUGACACAGUGCUGUAUAGGUCAGUUACAUCUCCAUUAAACUGGGAAAAAAUAAUUUUUAAAUAAAGACGAAUAAGCAAAUUUUCUGAAAAAAAAAAAAGAGAAAAAUACAGCGUUCAAACUGUAAAACAGCCUAAUUACCCAACACCAGAGAAAGAGUUAAACAAAAUAGAAUUCAUUCAUAUGAUACACUCUUACGACAACACUGAGGCAUUUUUCUAUGCAAUGUUUAGUGACAUGAGAAAUUCUUAUUUAAGAUAAAGAAAUUCUUACUUAGGAAACUCUUACAUACAUACAUGUACGUACACACAUAUUCACAUAGAUCAUGAGCCCAACUUUUUAAAACGUCAUUACUCAGAAGAAAGAAAAAAGAACGAAGACCACAUUAUUAAGAGUAAUCACCUCAGGCAGGGGAACUAAUGGAACAUUUUAAUUCCGCAUCAACUCCUAAAUUGUUUCCUUCUCCUUCUUCUCCUAUCAUGCAUAAGAUACACUACAAAGCUGAAAAACAAAAGUUGGCUUUUCAAAGCAACAAGUGACUCUGGAUGGGGAAAAAGAAAAUCAAAUCGGGUUCCAUGCCUGGGUCUGGUCCCAAAAUUUGCUUAAAUUGCCAGGUAAGAAAGGUCAAGAAAUUCACAGUCUAAUAAAACGUACAUGUAAAAAAGAAAUGUCUGCUGAUCUACCAACUGUGUUUGAUCACAGAGAGCUCAGAAUCUACCAAGAAAAGAAAUCUAGCAUCUUUGCCCCAGCACCCAAUUCUCAGGCGUGACAAAUCUUGAAUUCUGGACGGUGGGAGCAUCUCGGCUGGGAGUGGGGGACAGGAGCAGCUGUCUAGGGGACACACAGGGAAACCCCUAACAGGGUGAGAAACGGCAGUGCCUGGAGUGCCAGCAAAGGGAGUGGGCCGCUGAGGGGUUGUGCGAUUUAUCAGGGCUUUCUCUGCAGCCCUGUGGACCCACGACUGCAGGCGGCAUUCACAGGACACGGCUUCCAAACAUGUUAGAAAGAACUCGGAGUUCUGCUCUCAAGCUGUCUUCAGGACACCUGGCUUACUGUGCAGGUUUAUAGUUCCUGCCUUUAAAACAGUCCUGGCAACGCCCAUCACUUUCAUCUCAGAGCUGAUCAUGGCAGAAAACCAUCACUACAAGACAGCAACUGAUAACAGCGUCCGUCUCUGUGCCCGGCGCUCUGCCAGUCAUUCUACCUACACGGUAUCUAACUCCAUCAGGUAACAAUAGCUAACAAUACAUUCCAUCCCAGAGGUGGUAAAAUGAAGGCUCAAGGAGUCCCCAUUAUGCCUCAAUGGGUUAAGAACCCGACACAGUGUCCUUGACGGAGUGGGUUUAAUCCCAGCCUCAUUCAGUGGAUUAAGGAUCCAUCAUUGCCACGAGCUGAUGCAUAGGUUGCAGAUGUGGCUCAGAUUCGGCAUUGCCCUGGCUGUGGCACAGGACAGCAGGUGCAGCUCCGAUUCAACACCUAACCUGGGAACUUCCGUAGGCGGCAGGUACGGCUCGAAAAAGAAAAAAACAUAAACCAAGGCUCACAAAGAGAAAGGUUUGUUAGCAGUCCAGCCAGAGUCAUACUCGGCGGUGUGAUUCCGAUGCCGCUGCUCUUUGAUCCUGAAGCGGGGGUCAGGGACGCUGCAGCUCGGUGCCUCAGCCAAGCACUGAUGAUCAGCACCGGCGCAGGUGGCAGAGCGGGAGGCAGGGAACGUGGCCUGGAGAGACGGCCAGGGUCCCUGGACGUAUACCUGGGCAAGAGGAGGAACCGCCCAGCAUGUAACAGGUGAAGGCGGGGGUGGAGCCCUAGACCUCAGGUGAACCCCCAAGGGUGGGAUCUGGCGUGGCUCCAGCCACCGUGGCUACACGUUUAACAAUCUGCUCACACUUCCAGGACCCGUGUGGACCCAGCUCCAGGGUACAUGCUGUGCUGCUGGAGUAAGACACUGAAGAGCUGCUUGUAUUCAAGCUGACAUCAGAGAUAUUGAAGUGUCUAAUUCAAUCGUUCCAUCUUUUCGGCAGACACAAAGGACCACAGGCUUCUGGCACAGUGAGGUUCUCUCUCUUUCACCCUUUCUGUUUAAGCAUGCCAGGACACACACACACACACACACACACACACACAAAACAGGGCCGUUUAAGUAAAGACGGUUCUACGGUGGGGCUACUUUGGGGCUGAACAACGUAAGAGGCCUUGGUGGAUCCUAACACCAACUGGGAGAUGCCAGGGACAGGGGCCUUGGGCCGGGGGUGGGGAACGGUCCACUUUCCUCCUAAAUAUGACAGCUGAGCAGAUGGGCAACGGCUCCUGAGAGGAAGGGGCUAGCAGACGAACACAAGCAAAGCCGAAGUCCUGUCGGUCCCAGGCUAACAGGACCCUCCACGAAGGCGACUGGCACUGUUCCCAGGGUUUAGUGUCGACACCCCAGAGCCUGCCCACUUCUUCCCCAUGCCUUUUUCACCGGAAGGGUUGCUGCAUAGGGACUGGUAUAUAAACACUGGGACUUCCUGUGAGCAUCAGGUGGCUGGCUCACAGAAAUCCACAGUGGCACCUUUGUGGCCAGUGGAGAUUUGUGGGAUGGGGAAGACGUGGCCUAUGGAAACCCAUUCCCUAACCUUUCACCAGGCAUAAAAUUUACUGUGAAUGGAAUUCCUGAAAGCCCAUGGUGGCCUCUGAUUUAAAAGUACUAAAUCUGGCUCCCCGAGAACACCUCCAUUAUAAUAAAUACAUCACUAUGACAACACAUGCUAACUGCACAAUCUCAAAGACCAGCGUGAAUAACCCAUACGUGAAAAAUGCAUCGGAACGUGGCUGUCCUGGAUUCAUACCACCGAGGCUUUAGGAUCAGGCGGAGUCACGGGGUGAAUAUGAAACAUCUCAGGAGUAGGCUGCCAUCACGGUGGACGACAGUGUGGGGGGACCAAGCACCAGCCCCCUAAUUUCAUCCAGGUGACAAAACUCAACCUGUGUUCACUUGGAACGUGGGUGGUGUAUCCAGCUUACAGAAUCCAAGGAGGAAGUUACCUGUAAAUUUACAGAUCUGAGUAUGCUUUCCUGAAGGACACAAAGAGUGCUAAGCAGAUACACCUGCUCAGCUUCAAAGUCUGUCUUGAGGAAAUGAGAGAGACAUUAUGGUCACUGUCUGGAGUGAGCUUUUAAAAGGAAAAAGAAUGAGAUCAUUGUUUUCGUGCAACUCAGCCACACAUCUUUCUUGUUUAAUCUGCAUUCAUUCUUCCUGUUUUUCUUCUUUCUCCUCCUGGUUCCCUCCUUUCUCAGACGUUUAGGCCAGUCUAACUAGCUUUUAGUUGCUACUUAGUGAGGAAAACACAGAUAAAUUACAAGGGAGCCUGUCCUCCAGGGACUUAGUUGCAUCAGAGCCGUGGAUCAAAAUGGCGGCCAGGGUCUUGGACGGAACCCGAGACAUGAGUUUGGAUCCUUCGCUGCUUAUCACCCGGGGAAGCCAAGAUGACCUAAGUCCUGUGACUGACCUUUAACCCAGCCUGUGAAAUGGGAGCCG
Molecule: long non-coding RNA, 7675 nt
Filed under: Sus scrofa (pig)
Lineage: Eukaryota; Metazoa; Chordata; Mammalia; Artiodactyla; Suidae
Description: lncRNA (ENSSSCG00035031740.1)
Source: RNAcentral